ACUGCAGCUGAUGCAUCUGGAUGC
This 24-nucleotide non-coding RNA is filed under the name Arabidopsis thaliana (thale cress). Lineage: Eukaryota; Viridiplantae; Streptophyta; Magnoliopsida; Brassicales; Brassicaceae. The record is from RNAcentral.